RNAcentral lists this ribosomal RNA (253 nucleotides) under uncultured Eubacteriales bacterium. Its description in RNAcentral is "uncultured Clostridiales bacterium partial 16S ribosomal RNA". It matches the Rfam family "Bacterial small subunit ribosomal RNA", at positions 524 to 776 of the family's 1533-position model. The record is from RNAcentral. Lineage: Bacteria; Bacillati; Bacillota; Clostridia; Eubacteriales.
UACGUAGGUGGCAAGCGUUGUCCGGAAUGACUGGGCGUAAAGGGAGCGUAGGCGGCGCAGUAAGUUAGGAGUGAAAUCCCGGGGCUCAACCCCGGAACUGCUUUUAAAACUGCUGUGCUUGAGUGAUGGAGAGGAAAGCGGAAUUCCUAGUGUAGCGGUGGAAUGCAUAGAUAUCACGCAGAACUCCGAUUGCGAAGGCAGCAUACCGGCGCCCAACUGACGCUCAGGCACGAAAGCGUGGGUAUCGAACAGG